RNAcentral lists this ribosomal RNA (465 nucleotides) under uncultured bacterium. RNAcentral describes it as "partial 16S ribosomal RNA". It matches the Rfam family "Bacterial small subunit ribosomal RNA", at positions 28 to 507 of the family's 1533-position model. The record is from RNAcentral.
GAUGAACGCUGGCGGCGUGCUUAACACAUGCAAGUCGAACGGAAAGGCCCAAGCUUGCUUGGGUACUCGAGUGGCGAACGGGUGUGUAACACGUGGGUGAUCUGCCCUGCACUUCGGGAUAAGCCUGGGAAACUGGGUCUAAUACCGGAUAGGACCACAUUUUGGAUGGUGUGGUGGAAAGUUUUUCGGUGUGGGUUGAGCUCGCGGCCUAUCAGCUUGUUGGUGGGGUAAUGGCUUACCAAGGCGCCGACGGGUAGCCGUCCUGAGAGGGUGUACGGCCACAUUGGGACUGAGAUACGGACCAGACGCCUACGGGAGACAGAGGGGGGAAAUAUUGCACAAUGGGCGCAAGCCUGAUGCAGCGACGCCGCGUGGGGGAUGACGGCCUUCGGGUUGUAAACUCCUUUCGCUAAGGACGAAGCGGAAGUGACGGUACCUGGAGAAGAAGCACCGGCUAACUACGUG